RNAcentral lists this transfer RNA (72 nucleotides) under Gammaproteobacteria bacterium CG_4_10_14_0_8_um_filter_38_16. RNAcentral describes it as "tRNA-Thr". It matches the Rfam family "tRNA". Rfam says of the family: Transfer RNA (tRNA) molecules are approximately 80 nucleotides in length. Their secondary structure includes four short double-helical elements and three loops (D, anti-codon, and T loops). Further hydrogen bonds mediate the characteristic L-shaped molecular structure. tRNAs have two regions of fundamental functional importance: the anti-codon, which is responsible for specific mRNA codon recognition, and the 3' end, to which the tRNAs corresponding amino acid is attached (by aminoacyl-tRNA synthetases). tRNAs cope with the degeneracy of the genetic code in two manners: having more than one tRNA (with a specific anti-codon) for a particular amino acid; and 'wobble' base-pairing, i.e. permitting non-standard base-pairing at the 3rd anti-codon position. Lineage: Bacteria; Pseudomonadati; Pseudomonadota; Gammaproteobacteria. The record is from RNAcentral. RNAcentral also lists the same sequence under 1 other name.
GCCCACAUAGCUCAGUGGUAGAGCACUUCCUUGGUAAGGAAGAGGUCACCGGUUCAAUCCUGGUUGUGGGCU